This 253-nucleotide ribosomal RNA is filed under the name uncultured bacterium. Its description in RNAcentral is "partial 16S ribosomal RNA". It matches the Rfam family "Bacterial small subunit ribosomal RNA", at positions 524 to 776 of the family's 1533-position model. The record is from RNAcentral.
UACGUAGGGUGCGAGCGUUGUCCGGAAUUAUUGGGCGUAAAGAGCUUGUAGGUGGCUCGUCGCGUCGGGAGUGAAAACCCGCGGCUUAACCGCGGGCCUGCUUUCGAUACGGGCGGGCUAGAGUUCGGCAGGGGAGACUGGAAUUCCUGGUGUAGCGGUGAAAUGCGCAGAUAUCAGGAGGAACACCGGUGGCGAAGGCGGGUCUCUGGGCCGAUAUUGACGCUGAGGAGCGAAAGCGUGGGGAGCAAACAGG